GACGAACGCUGGCGGCGUGCCUAAUACAUGCAAGUAGAACGCUGAAGGAGGAGCUUGCUUCUCUGGAUGAGUUGCGAACGGGUGAGUAACGCGUAGGUAACCUGCCUGGUAGCGGGGGAUAACUAUUGGAAACGAUAGCUAAUACCGCAUAAUAGUAGAUGUUGCAUGACAUUUGCUUAAAAGGUGCAAUUGCAUCACUACCAGAUGGACCUGCGUUGUAUUAGCUAGUUGGUGGGGUAACGGCUCACCAAGGCGACGAUACAUAGCCGACCUGAGAGGGUGAUCGGCCACACUGGGACUGAGACACGGCCCAGACUCCUACGGGAGGCAGCAGUAGGGAAUCUUCGGCAAUGGACGGAAGUCUGACCGAGCAACGCCGCGUGAGUGAAGAAGGUUUUCGGAUCGUAAAGCUCUGUUGUAAGAGAAGAACGAGUGUGAGAGUGGAAAGUUCACACUGUGACGGUAUCUUACCAGAAAGGGAUGGCUAACUACGUG
Molecule: ribosomal RNA, 495 nt
Filed under: uncultured bacterium
Lineage: Bacteria
Description: partial 16S ribosomal RNA
Rfam family: Bacterial small subunit ribosomal RNA
Source: RNAcentral